Molecule: ribosomal RNA, 468 nt
Filed under: uncultured bacterium
Lineage: Bacteria
Description: partial 16S ribosomal RNA
Rfam family: Bacterial small subunit ribosomal RNA
Source: RNAcentral
GACGAACGCUGGCGGCGUGCUUAACACAUGCGAGUCGAACGGAAAGGCCCUGCUUUUGUGGGGUGCUCGAGUGGCGAACGGGUGAGUAACACGUGAGUAACCUGCCCUUGACUUUGGGAUAACUUCAGGAAACUGGGGCUAAUACCGGAUAGGAGCUCCUGCUGCAUGGUGGGGGUUGGAAAGUUUCGGCGGUUGGGGAUGGACUCGCGGCUUAUCAGCUUGUUGGUGGGGUUGUGGCUUACCAAGGCUUUGACGGGUAGCCGGCCUGGGAGGGUGACCGGCCACAUUGGGACUGAGGUGCGGCCCAGACUCCUACGGGAGGCAGCAGUGGGGAAUAUUGCACAAUGGGCGGAAGCCUGAUGCAGCAACGCCGCGUGCGGGAUGACGGCCUUCGGGUUGUAAACCGCUUUCGCCUGUGACGAAGCGUGAGUGACGGUAAUGGGUAAAGAAGCACCGGCUAACUACGUG